GGGGGCGACUGGCUUCGACGAGUUUGAUGAAGGGAUUGCAGCGUGCCCAGGUCCAGAGUCCUGGUUAAUCCAUCUGGAACGUUCUAACUGCCAACACUGAACUGGCAAUGGCCGCGUAAGCUGAGCUAAGCUCGCUUAUCGCACCUCCGGCAGACGGAGCCCGCCCGGGGCGCCGUGGGUCGGAUCGCAAAUCUGGGCUGGCUGAGGGUGCCGCUCCGGCGCCUGCGGCGAGAUCUUAGGAGCUUGGCCAAAGGGUGGUCGGUUCGGCACCACCCCGAGGCAACGGUACAAAGCCGAGCCUACGCACGUAGACGCAGUUCUGGAAGCUUACUCGGACCAGGGUUCGAUUCCCUGCGCCUCCACUG
Molecule: transfer-messenger RNA, 365 nt
Filed under: Gemmatimonadales bacterium
Lineage: Bacteria; Pseudomonadati; Gemmatimonadota; Gemmatimonadia; Gemmatimonadales
Rfam family: transfer-messenger RNA
About the family: Bacterial tmRNA, also known as 10Sa RNA or SsrA, is named for its dual tRNA and mRNA-like properties. Its role is to liberate the mRNA from a stalled ribosome. To accomplish this part of the tmRNA is used as a reading frame that ends in a translation stop signal.
Source: RNAcentral